AGUAAUGUGUAAACACCGUUUCCUGUACGAUCACCAAAGUUAAGCAACUUCGAGCCUGGUUAGUACCUAGAUCGGUGACCACUUGUGAAUAUCGAGUGCUGUAAU
Non-coding RNA from Acanthosepion pharaonis, 105 nucleotides. The record is from the annotation of a GenBank genome assembly. NCBI's taxonomy places the organism in Eukaryota, Metazoa, Mollusca, Cephalopoda, Sepiida, Sepiidae.